Molecule: non-coding RNA, 29 nt
Filed under: Mus musculus (house mouse)
Lineage: Eukaryota; Metazoa; Chordata; Mammalia; Rodentia; Muridae
Source: RNAcentral
UAGAACAUAAAACGUGUAUAAAACAUGCC